ACGGGGUGCAGCAGGCGCGAAAACUUUGCAAUAAGCGAGAGCUUGACAGGGCUAUCCCGAGUGCCAUCCGCUGAGGAAGGCUUUUACCCAGUCUAGUAAGCUGGGGGAAUAAGGAGAGGGCAGGUCUGGUGUCAGCCGCCGCGGUAAUACCAGCUCUCCGAGUGGUGUGGAUGUUUAUUGGGCCUAAAGCAUCCGUAGCUGGCCAAGUUAGUCCCCUGUUAAAUCCACCGAAUUAAUCGUUGGUGUGCGGGGGAUACUGCUUGGCUAGGGGACGAGAGAGGCAGACGGUAUUUUCGGGGUAGGGGUGAAAUCCUAUAAUCCCGGGAAGACCACCAGUGGCGAAGGCUGUCUGCUAGAACGCGCCCGACGGUGAGGGAUGAAAGCUGGGGGAGCGAACCGGAUUAGAUACCCGGGUAGUCCCAGCUGUAAACGAUGCAGGCUAGGUGUUUGGACGGCCACGUGCCGUUCUAGUGCCGCAGGGAAGCUGUUAAGCCUGCCGCCUGGGGAGUACGAUCGCAAGAUUGAAACUUAAAGGAAUUGGCGGGGGAGCAC
Molecule: ribosomal RNA, 552 nt
Filed under: uncultured archaeon
Lineage: Archaea
Description: bacterial SSU rRNA
Rfam family: Archaeal small subunit ribosomal RNA
Source: RNAcentral